Molecule: non-coding RNA, 86 nt
Organism: Musa acuminata subsp. malaccensis (wild Malaysian banana)
Lineage: Eukaryota; Viridiplantae; Streptophyta; Magnoliopsida; Zingiberales; Musaceae
Source: RefSeq, a predicted model, not a curated record
GUUUAUUUAACAGUUCUUGUUCUUGUAAGUAAAUGAGUAUUUCUAACAUGAGGAAUGUAGUAGCACCGGAAACCUGAUUGAGAGUG